AUAUCUCUCCGUACGGGAAGGAUGAGAAGCUUCGACUAAGGUUCGAUUCGAGCGAAAGCGAGAAAGCGUUGCCA
RNAcentral lists this small RNA (74 nucleotides) under Salmonella enterica subsp. enterica serovar Oranienburg. RNAcentral's name for it is "partial RtT sRNA". It matches the Rfam family "RtT RNA", at positions 1 to 73 of the family's 130-position model. Rfam says of the family: This family represents a bacterial cis-regulatory element known as RtT RNA. The exact function of RtT is unknown although it is thought that it may be involved in changing the cellular response in relation to amino acid starvation. The record is from RNAcentral. Lineage: Bacteria; Pseudomonadati; Pseudomonadota; Gammaproteobacteria; Enterobacterales; Enterobacteriaceae. RNAcentral also lists the same sequence under 1 other name.